AACUUUCAGCAACGGAUCUCUUGGCUCUCGCAUCGAUGAAGAACGCAGCNAAAUGCGAUAAGUAAUGUGAAUUGCAGAAUUCAGUGAAUCAUCGAAUCUUUGAACGCACCUUGCGCCCCUUGGUAUUCCGAGGGGCAUGCCUGUUUGAGUGUCAUU
RNAcentral lists this ribosomal RNA (156 nucleotides) under Gymnopilus cyanopalmicola. RNAcentral describes it as "5.8S ribosomal RNA". It matches the Rfam family "5.8S ribosomal RNA". Rfam says of the family: 5.8S ribosomal RNA (5.8S rRNA) is a component of the large subunit of the eukaryotic ribosome. It is transcribed by RNA polymerase I as part of the 45S precursor that also contains 18S and 28S rRNA. The record is from RNAcentral. Lineage: Eukaryota; Fungi; Basidiomycota; Agaricomycetes; Agaricales; Galerinaceae.